AGUGAACGCUGGCGGUAGGCCUAACACAUGCAAGUCGAACGGCAGCACAGUAAGAGCUUGCUCUUACGGGUGGCGAGUGGCGGACGGGUGAGGAAUACAUCGGCAUCUACUUUUUCGUGGGGGAUAACGUAGGGAAACUUACGCUAAUACCGCAUACGACCUACGGGUGAAAGCAGGGGAUCUUCGGACCUUGCGCGAUUGAAUGAGCCGAUGUCGGAUUAGCUAGUUGGCGGGGUAAAGGCCCACCAAGGCGACGAUCCGUAGCUGGUCUGAGAGGAUGAUCAGCCACACUGGAACUGAGACACGGUCCAGACUCCUACGGGAGGCAGCAGUGGGGAAUAUUGGACAAUGGGCGCAAGCCUGAUCCAGCCAUACCGCGUGGGUGAAGAAGGCCUUCGGGUUGUAAAGCCCUUUUGUUGGGAAAGAAAAGCAGCAGGUUAAUACCCCGCUGUUAUGACGGUACCCAAAGAAUAAGCACCGGCUAACUACGUG
Molecule: ribosomal RNA, 492 nt
Filed under: uncultured bacterium
Lineage: Bacteria
Description: partial 16S ribosomal RNA
Rfam family: Bacterial small subunit ribosomal RNA
Source: RNAcentral